AUGUUCGACGCCGCACCGGCGCUCACCAGCCUAACCCUGGUGAACGUCAAGCAAAGGGCGGCGAAGCCACCGGGUUCUGACGAGAGAUUCUACAACUUGGAGUACUUCAUGCUGCCAUUCCGCCUCCGAUACCCGACGGUCAACGCCUUGGUACUCGUGACCUAUGUCGCCAAGAAGGAGAUCAAGGCGUCCGCCGCUGGCGGUAGUGGCAUCGAACCCGACAUGCCCAACCUCCGCUUCUUCUGGUUCCAGGGAUACCCCAUUCAGCUCUCGCUCACAUCGCCGGCGCCGGGGCUCGCGCGAGUCGAUUUCGAUGUGGCUCACCGCCAUCAGGGUGGCUGUGAGAUCUUGAAUUACGAACCGUUGUCCGGCAUGAUCGCCAGCUUCUCCAGCACGAGAGCCCUCAAGGUGCGUCUCGGGUGCAUCGAGGACAUCGUGGCCGACGAGGAUGGGGACGCCGGGCUCCUGGAACUAGACGGAGAGUACCAGUACAUGAACAACGACACGGCGGCAGCAACGGCGAGGCUGCUCCGCUCCUGCCCGGUGAUGUCUGAGCUCCGGCUCAGGUUGGCCAUGCGGUACAACUACUGGUAUGACCGCAAGCACGAGGACCCAGUCAGGGGGCCCUUCGGCGAGUCCAUGGACAGGUUUGAGAGGCUCGCGUGCAGGUCGUCGGCCGUGGACCUCGGCGGGGUGUCGGAGCUCCCGGACCCCUUGACCAACAACUGCGCGUUCUGCUGUCUGCAGACGAGCCUCCGGAACGUGACGUUGCCGUUCAAGGCCAAGGAGGUGAACUGCUUCCCGGUGCAGCUCGCCAAGUUCCUCGCGGAGAACGCCAUGGUGCUCGAGGAAAUGCACGUCGAGGACGGCAACCAGUUCUGGACGGACCACCUGUGCCACAAGGUUGGGAUGUGGAGAGCCGAGUCAUUCCGGAGGAAGAACCUGCCGGACACGGCCGCCGGCUUUCGGGUGUGCCAGCUGCUGAUGGAUAAACCCGUGUGA
RNAcentral lists this ribosomal RNA (1002 nucleotides) under Triticum aestivum (bread wheat). RNAcentral describes it as "partial small subunit ribosomal RNA". The record is from RNAcentral. Lineage: Eukaryota; Viridiplantae; Streptophyta; Magnoliopsida; Poales; Poaceae.